CAAAGGUGAGCAAGGGACAAGGUAAUUAAUGCAUCUUUGGACAUCACCUCCCAUGUAUUUCACUCCAUGUCCAUAGAUAUCUUUGCAUUUGUUCCUUUUACUUUGGGGCUAACCCAUGUAGAUGAGAAGAGUAAGAAACAACAAGGAUUGCUCCCAACUCAAGAUGAUCUUCAUCAACAAUGAGCAUCCAUCACUACUACACCUACAUGAAGUCUUCUACGACAAAAACCCAAAGUUAGUUUAUCCCUCUUAGGGGGGAUGCCACAUCUAGGGGGAGCUUUACUCUAAGAGUUGAGUAUAAGUGAUAAUUAAUGCAUUAUGUAAAAGUGGUAACCCCACUUGUGCUUAAUCGAUGAGUAUGACCUAUGAUCAAGUAUUCUUACUUGACUCCUUAGUCAAUAUACUCAUAUAUAGAUGGCUUCGUAAUCGCCAAAAUGCUUGAUAGAUGCUAGAAUGUUUGUGCAUGUUCCCCAUGUUUUAUUUGACAUCUUAUUGUGUGAUCAUGUUGGUAUGCAUGUUUUGCUCAUUCGAGGAUAUCCAAUUGUUCUUAUUUGGCUUUCUAUUUAUUUUGGCCAAUUGGAUAUACAAGAAUGCCUAAGUACCCCUC
RNAcentral lists this long non-coding RNA (607 nucleotides) under Hordeum vulgare. RNAcentral's name for it is "long non-coding RNA (HVUL_LNC015652)". Lineage: Eukaryota; Viridiplantae; Streptophyta; Magnoliopsida; Poales; Poaceae. The record is from RNAcentral.